GUUCAAGAUGACAUAGAAAAAGAGGUUCCUGGUUCUGUGCCCAUUCCACCCGAUGAUACUUCGAAAGAAGAGAUAGUUGACUGUUUGGUGAAAAAUGUGGAGGCCAUGAUAAAAGCUGACAGGAAAAUUACCGCACUUAAAGAAUUGCAGGGCCAUAUAUGGAGAACUGGUUUUCAAAAUAAUGAUUUGCAGGGUGAUGUUUUUGGUGAUGUUCCUGAAGCUCUGAGGAAGUGGCACGCAAAUGGCAUCAAGAUUUACAUAUAUUCUAGCGGCAGUAGAGAGGCUCAACGGCUUCUCUUUGGGAACACAAAGUAUGGUGACUUGAGG
Molecule: unclassified non-coding RNA, 327 nt
Filed under: Hevea brasiliensis (rubber tree)
Lineage: Eukaryota; Viridiplantae; Streptophyta; Magnoliopsida; Malpighiales; Euphorbiaceae
Source: RNAcentral